Molecule: long non-coding RNA, 1239 nt
Organism: Rhododendron vialii
Lineage: Eukaryota; Viridiplantae; Streptophyta; Magnoliopsida; Ericales; Ericaceae
Exons: 3
Source: RefSeq, a predicted model, not a curated record
UCUCUCUCUCUCUCUCACUAGUGCUGCAGAAAUUAGAGAAGUUUUCGUUUCUUGGACGAAUAUUUUGGGGUGCACUCAAAUGGAAAAAUAAGGAAUCAACAAUAGUCUUUGGUGUUCGUUUAAACGUUGUUGGAUUUUUUGGCCUACAGAUUGUUCGAUCACUAUAUCAGCUAAUUUAACUUGGGAGUUAGGAACUUAGGACAGUUGCGAAUGUGACCUACCGUAUAGGCUAAUGUAAUUUCUAUUGAAAGCUAUUUCUUCAAAUUAUGAUUAUGAGGGUAGUUUAUGUUAGGUUCUUUGCGUUACUAACAGUUGAUAGAGAGAAUUUAGACGUGAUUUUGACUGUGUUGACAGAGACGUUCAUCUUUUCAUGUAUAGAGCUUUAAGCACUGAUUGGUGGAUGAGUAAAAUUAAUGGUUUUUAUCAUACAAAUUUCAGUUUUAUUUUUACAAGUAUUAGCUAACGUAUGUUGCUGGUUUGCAGGUUUAUCUGUCUCUAUGUUGUGCUCUUAUCGCUUUGGCUGUUGGAGCUUAUCUUCACAUCCUCUGGAAUAUUGGAGCUUUCCUCAUGACCAUAGGUUCUAUUGGAAGCUUGGUUUGGCUACUCUUGACCCCUCCAUACGAAGAGAUCAUCUCCGAGUACACUGACUUCAUGGCGAAUCUGACCAGCAUCAAUGGAAGUCAGAUGGAUGAGGUUCAGAUGACCUUAAUUCGAUAAAUAUCCACCUUACUCGGACAAGUUCAUCUAUUUCGAUUUCAUAAUUGUUGAUUGAAUCUAUAUGUGCAUGUUUGUAACAUGUUGUUUGUCCAUCUCAAUCAAAUACCAUCACCUUUGACAGUGCUUGUUCUGUAUUUUAUUUUAUUUUAUUUGUAGAUUUUGGUUCAAUUAUCUCUGAAAGAAUUCUUUUCAAAAAAAAAAUCUCUGAAAAAAAUAUUAGCACAAUAACUGUUCAUACUUUACAGCCCUAUGUAAUCUUGCUUGUUGAAGUGAAUAGAUGUACCAUCUUUUCGUCUAGAACAGUUGAUCUGAGCAACUCAUCAUACAUAUAUGGCUUCUUUUCAUUUCAGAUUAACAAGUAAAGUUUUGGGCAAUCGAAGUCGCUGAUAGAGGAUCAUGGCAAAAAAGAUGACAAUCAGUUCCCAGAAAGUAGACUUGCCUUAUUAGUUCUUUCUUUUUUGUAUGUUUUGUUGGUUUCUCUGUUGAGAGUAAUUAAAAGUGUGAAAUAUUUUGCUCCUUUUA